RNAcentral lists this unclassified non-coding RNA (329 nucleotides) under Hevea brasiliensis (rubber tree). Lineage: Eukaryota; Viridiplantae; Streptophyta; Magnoliopsida; Malpighiales; Euphorbiaceae. The record is from RNAcentral.
GGAAUAUCAUUGAACAAUUUCAAUUUCAAAUUUGUAGAGUAAUCAUCUUUUAUCUUAGAUCUAGAGACAAAAAUUGUAGAUUUCCAUUUGGUACACUAAAGGCAAGUUGCCUUACAUUUCAGUUGUGGAUUUGAAGAUUGUGCUCUAUUUGAGUGAAGGAUCGGGAUGGUGAACCAAGAGAUCAUAUGUUCAUCUUCCUUUCUCAAAGUUGUUCGAGCUAGUUUGAAGCAAGGAGAAGCUGGUAAAUACGAGACAAGAGAUAGAACAGCGAACGAAUAAUAUUAAAAAUCAGGAAGAAAGUAGCAGUGAUACCAGAAAAGAAAGAUUUG